This 23-nucleotide non-coding RNA is filed under the name Rattus norvegicus (Norway rat). Lineage: Eukaryota; Metazoa; Chordata; Mammalia; Rodentia; Muridae. The record is from RNAcentral.
GGAAACAGCCCUGCCACGAGGAA